CUCAGGGCGCGGCUCCGGCCCCGCGCAGCGCUCACCCACAGCCGGCGUCCCGGGCACGGCUCGUCCCCGGCCGCAGCCAGGACGUGCAGCCGCCAAGAACUAAAAGAAAAGCUGAGGUAAAAUGAAAGAAGAGAAGAGACAGAGCACCCUUAAAGAUGCUGAUAGAGUCUUGGAUGGUAUCAGAAACUGAAGGAUAAUGUGACUGGAAAACACCUUUACUGAUGGACUGUGAUGAAUUUCUAGCUCCCCAAGAAAAUGUCAGUCUUCUAUUCAGCUCCGGGUUCUCUGCUUCACCUGCAGUGAAUGCAUGUUUGAGAAAGGAAAAGAAACAUGAAAGGGGAAGUGAGGAAGGAGUCCUGACAUGAUAAAGCUUGACAUGGCACAAAGUAACUUGUGGCAAAACCAAGGCUAUGCACUAGAGUAUGAGCAUUCCUAAAGGGAAGGAUAAAAAUAAAUAGUAAAAUAAUCUCUUUCCAUGCUGAAGCUGACAUCCCUCAAGAAUUUGUGUGGAUAAGAAGAGUUCUCCAGUCUGGAAAUAUGAAGCUUUUGUUAGGUUGCUUCCUGAUGCUUCAAGUUUUAGAGUCUCCCACUGUGCUGCAAGCAAGCAUUACAAUUUCUUCUACAGCCACUUUUAAAUUCUGGGCAGCAGAUCUGCCAUCUGCAGUCCAUCUGCUGGGUCUAAUACCUAAGAAACAGACUUCAACCAUGAAGAGCUAACCCUCACAAAUUGUCAGUAAUGAAGAGUCCAUCAUAAUCACUUAACACGUCAAACACCUGUGUGAGCAAGACAAUGAGGGAAUGACUUUUGCAGGAGGAUGGAUAUAGGAUUAGAUGGAGCGUUACUUGGGGUCUGGAUGGGAAUGUUUGUUUAUAAUGAAAAGGGCAGUCAUUGUGGCACAUUUCCUUGCAGCAAAUAAUCAACCCUGCAAGUCAUAGAGAAACACAUCCUAUUUAGCAGCAGUUUUCCUAAAAAACUGAGGGUGAUACUUAAAACAUGGAGGUUUUUUUAUGGGCUUAUCCAUGACCAUGCCAUAAAUAUAUGCAGAAUCACACAGGUCCUACUUAGAUGAAUGUCCCCAGUUAUUUAUAACUUGAACUGGAGGGAUGGUGCAGCACAGCUGCUGUUGCACCAUCUAUCCCUGAUGACCAUCACACACUUAAAACAUUGUGGGAUUUUUUUAAAGUAACCUGCUGUGUCUACUCUGCAUAUUUUCCUUUGCUUUCACUGCUUGAGAGGGCACAUGGUCACAACACUUCAUUGCUCUGCCAGGGAGGGCUCCAUUAUUUUCAGGAUGCUGCAAAGAGAGGGAAUGAGCUGAGAUCAUGGGAUACAAUGUCUUUACUAUAAAUCCCAAAGACCAGUGUUAAGAGCUGCUGUACCUCCUGUUUCUGCCGCAGAAUUGGAAUCCUGUGUUAAUAAAACUAGAAGCAUGUUUAUUUAAGACCA
RNAcentral lists this long non-coding RNA (1447 nucleotides) under Cyanistes caeruleus (blue tit). RNAcentral describes it as "lncRNA (ENSCCEG00000006776.1)". Lineage: Eukaryota; Metazoa; Chordata; Aves; Passeriformes; Paridae. The record is from RNAcentral.